GGGAAUGUACCAUGAAUCACAUGAAUUUGGUGGUCAUAUGUUCAACACUCACCUAGAGGUUAGACCAUUGCAUCAUUUGAUUUUGUAUGCGUCUUACAUCUGGGCUGGUUAAUUUUAUAAUUUGUGAAUACCGUGAUUAGAACAUUUAAAUUCCCAUCUUUAAAUGGUACAUGUCUGAAGAAUUCGCACAGAUCUUGUGAGUGCAUUUAAAGUUUUGUUGCUUUCAUUUAUUAAAAAAUGAUCUGCUUAAUUCUUACAUGUUCCUCCUCUCUUGGGCAAAUAGCAGUGCUCCGUGGUGUCAUCUGGUUAUGGAGAAAUUUAGGACAAAAAGGGCAGGUUAAGCGCAAGGCUGGAAUCAACUAAGAGCAGAGAAUUUGAAUGUGCAUGAGAUAUCUUAUCGAGUAUAACUGUUUAAGGAGAAGCUGAUUUUUUUCUUAGCAUAAUCUAAUACACUUACUGAUAUGAUUUAUCCGUAUCUGUUGGGAGGAUGAAAUCUCAUCAAUUUUUAUUUUAGUUUAUUAUGAUUGUAUUUUUAGUCUAAUGUACAAUUUUCCAGCACUUGGCUUUGCUAGAUCUCGAUAAUGACACUGCAUUAUUUGGCGUUUUUAUGUAUAUGGAGCAUGAAAGUAACUAAAUGCAAAGAAUAGUACUUUUUACGUCUAUGAUUUAUUUCACAUCAAAACUGUAUUUUUAUUUGCAAAUGUAGCAACAAUAUACUAAUUUGAUGUACUUUUUUCUAGGGUGUUCUCGACAAAGAAAGCUUGUACCUUAAAACAGGAGGAUACAAGAAGCUGGAGUGCUUGUCUGAAGGCUUUUGAACUGCUUGAAGCAUUAGUGUAGCUUUGGUGCUUUUGUGACUGAUCAACUCUGGAGCAGCUAGAAUGAUGUAGUUGUGGGCUUUUGAACAAUAGCUGAAGUGAUAUGAAACAUUAGUGAUGUAGUUGUGGGCUUUUGAACUGCUUCAAGCUGGAGUGAUGUCGUUGUGGUGCUUUUGUGAUUGAUCAUCUCUGGAGCUUUUGUGAAUGAUCUAGCUAGCUAUCUGUAAAUGAUCUAGUUGUGAAUGAUAUUAUAAUUGUGAUGCUUUUGUGAAUA
This 1092-nucleotide long non-coding RNA is filed under the name Zea mays. RNAcentral describes it as "long non-coding RNA (ZMAY_LNC004469)". The record is from RNAcentral. Lineage: Eukaryota; Viridiplantae; Streptophyta; Magnoliopsida; Poales; Poaceae.